CCUACGGGAGGCAGCAGUAGGGAAUCUUCCACAAUGGGCGAAAGCCUGAUGGAGCAACGCCGCGUGGGUGAAGAAGGUCUUCGGAUCGUAAGACCCUGUUGUUAGAUAGGAAAGUGCGUGAGAGUAACUGUUCACGGUUCGACGGUAUCUAACCAGAAAGCCACGGCUAACUACGUGCCAGCAGCCGCGGUAAUACGUAGGUGGCAAGCGUUAUCCGGAUUUAUUGGGCGUAAAGGGAACGCAGGCGGUCUUUUAAGUCUGAUGUGAAAGCCUUCGGCUUAACCGGAGUAGUGCAUUGGAAACUGGGAGACUUGAGUGCAGAAGAGGAGAGUGGAACUCCAUGUGUAGCGGUGAAAUGCGUAGAUAUAUGGAAGAACACCAGUGGCGAAAGCGGCUCUCUGGUCUGUAACUGACGCUGAGGUUCGAAAGCGUGGGUAGCAAACAGGAUUAGAUACCCCAGUAGUC
This 465-nucleotide ribosomal RNA is filed under the name uncultured bacterium. RNAcentral describes it as "partial 16S ribosomal RNA". It matches the Rfam family "Bacterial small subunit ribosomal RNA", at positions 338 to 795 of the family's 1533-position model. The record is from RNAcentral.